GACGAACGCUGGCGGCGUGCUUAACACAUGCAAGUCGAACGGAAAGGCCCUGCUUUUGUGGGGUUCUCGAGUGGCGAACGGGUGAGUAACACGUGAGUAACCUGCCCUUGACUUUGUGAUAACUUCAGGAAACUGGGGCUAAUACCGGAUAGGAGCUCCUGCUGCAUGGUGGGGGUUGGAAAGUUUCGGCGGUUGGGGAUAGACUCGCGGCUUAUCAGCUUGUUGGUGAGGUAGUGGCUUACCAAGGCUUUGACGGGUAGCCGGCCUGAGAGGGUGACCGGCCACCUUGGGACUGAGAUACGGAGCAGACUCCUACGGGAGGCAGCAGUGGGGAAUAUUGCACAAUGGGCGGAAGCCUGAUGCAGCAACGCCGCGUGCGGGAUGCCGGCCUUCGGGUUGUAAACCGCUUUCGCCUGUGACGAAGAGUGAGUGACGGUAAUGGGUAAAGAAGCACCGGCUAACUACGUG
RNAcentral lists this ribosomal RNA (468 nucleotides) under uncultured bacterium. RNAcentral describes it as "partial 16S ribosomal RNA". It matches the Rfam family "Bacterial small subunit ribosomal RNA", at positions 28 to 507 of the family's 1533-position model. The record is from RNAcentral.